This is a long non-coding RNA of Ostrea edulis (European flat oyster), 675 nucleotides long. RefSeq lists it as uncharacterized. The transcript has 3 exons. The record is from RefSeq and is a predicted model, not a curated record. Lineage: Eukaryota; Metazoa; Mollusca; Bivalvia; Ostreida; Ostreidae.
GACAGGUGAAUCAAACUGAAAAAAGGAUAAAAAGUUGUUUACAGAAGUCUUAAGUGCAAACAGAUGUUUCUCUCUAUCUCUCUCUCUCUCUCUGUGUGUGUGUGUGUGUGUCUCUCUCUCUCUCUCUCAGCUUUCCCGAUGAAAUGCAAAGUCGAUGACAGUGAUCUAGAUUAAAGUUCUAAAUGGAGGAGGAAGUGCUUUGACCAAACAGAAAUAAUGAGGAAACUGAUACCGAGAGAAUCCACCCCGGGUCUGGACGGUCACAUGAGAUGGAGACAUGACACCCCGGGUCUGGGCGGUCACAUGAGAUGGAGACAUGACACCCCGGGUCUGGGCGGUCACAUGAUAUGGAGACAUGACAGCGAAAGAAAAACAACAACCAUGACUUACCUCAAUGUGAUGGAGGGAGUUUUGAUGUCUCUCCAAAAGAUGCUGGCAUACAACUGAAUGCAUUUCGCUUGCGAGUAUCAUAGCCAUGACGAAUUCGCCGGUAAUACCGUACUCGCUCCUAUAAAGCAAAACAAAGGCUGUUGGAGUUUCUUCAUCCGGAAGGCAUCUCCUCAUUGCUUUCUUUCGUGGCUGAUUUGCGACGACGGCUAGUUAGUCACCGUCUGCAACUCAUUGCAGUCAUCGGCAGGAAGCAAUUCAUGAAAUGAACAAUUUCAAUGCAGAAAC